UUAGCCACCUACGGAAGGGAUAACCGCUGAAAGCAUCUAAGCGGGAAGCCCGUUCGAAGAUAAGUGUUCCCAUGCGGUUAGCGCAGUAAGGCCCGUGGCGAGACCACCACGUUGAUAGGCCGGAAGUGUAAGCGCAGCAAUGCGUUCAGCUGACCGGUACUAAUCGGCCGAGGGCUUGGUUAG
Molecule: ribosomal RNA, 183 nt
Filed under: Ilumatobacteraceae bacterium
Lineage: Bacteria; Bacillati; Actinomycetota; Acidimicrobiia; Acidimicrobiales; Ilumatobacteraceae
Description: partial 23S ribosomal RNA
Rfam family: Bacterial large subunit ribosomal RNA
Source: RNAcentral